GACGAACGCUGGCGGCGUGCUUAACACAUGCAAGUCGAACGGAAAGGCCCUGCUUUUGUGGGGUGCUCGAUUGGCGAACGGGUGAGUAACACGUGAGUAACCUCCCCUUGACUUUGGGAUAACUUCAGGAAACUGGGGCUAAUACCGGAUAGGAGCUCCUGCUGCAUGUGGUGGGUUGGUAAGUUUCGGCGGUGGGGGAUGGACUCGCGGCUUAUCCGCUUGUUGGUGUAGUAGUUGAUUACCAAGGCUUCGACGGGUAGCCGGCCUGGGAGGGUGACCAGCCACAAUGGGACUGAGAGACGGCGCAGAAUCCUACGGGAGGCAGUAGGCGGGAAUAUUGCAGAGUGGGGGGAAGCCUGAUGCAGAAACGCCGCGUGCGGGAUGCCGGCCUUCGGGUUGUAAACCGCUUUCGACUGUGACGUAGAGUGAGUGACGGUAAUGGGUAAGGAAGCACCGGCUAACUACGUG
This 468-nucleotide ribosomal RNA is filed under the name uncultured bacterium. Its description in RNAcentral is "partial 16S ribosomal RNA". It matches the Rfam family "Bacterial small subunit ribosomal RNA", at positions 28 to 507 of the family's 1533-position model. The record is from RNAcentral.